UGGGGAAUAUUGGACAAUGGGCGCAAGCCUGAUCCAGCCAUGCCGCGUGAGUGAUGAAGGCCCUAGGGUUGUAAAGCUCUUUCGCACGCGACGAUAAUGACGGUAGCGUGAGAAGAAGCCCCGGCUAACUUCGUGCCAGCAGCCGCGGUAAUACGAAGGGGGCUAGCGUUGCUCGGAAUCACUGGGCGUAAAGGGCGCGUAGGCGGCCGGCCAAGUCGGGGGUGAAAGCCUGUGGCUCAACCACAGAAUGGCCCUCGAUACUGGACGGCUCGAGACCGGAAGAGGUUGGUGGAAUUGCGAGUGUAGAGGUGAAAUUCGUAGAUAUUCGCAAGAACACCGGUGGCGAAGGCGGCCAACUGGUCCGGAUCUGACGCUGAGGCGCGAAAGCGUGGGGAGCAAACAGG
This 404-nucleotide ribosomal RNA is filed under the name Bacillota bacterium. RNAcentral describes it as "Firmicutes bacterium partial 16S ribosomal RNA". It matches the Rfam family "Bacterial small subunit ribosomal RNA", at positions 355 to 776 of the family's 1533-position model. RNAcentral also lists the same sequence under 1 other name. Lineage: Bacteria; Bacillati; Bacillota. The record is from RNAcentral.